Molecule: long non-coding RNA, 2345 nt
Organism: Anas platyrhynchos (mallard)
Lineage: Eukaryota; Metazoa; Chordata; Aves; Anseriformes; Anatidae
Source: RefSeq, a predicted model, not a curated record
CCACAGGGUGCUAUGGAGUUGUUGUCCUCUUUCCCCUGAUCUCUGCUUGCUUCACUUCUCAGAAGGGUCUCACUCCAGGAAGGGAACCUAAGGUGAAGGAGUCAGACGUGGCUGUAGGAUCAGUGUGGGCUACAGCAGCUUGCCUCCUGCUUAGCUCAGCUUUAAGGUGCUUGGGCACAAAAUCACCACAGCUGUCAGGGAUCACAGAGCCUGUUACCACCCAUCCUCACUCUGAAGUGAGCAACAGGACAGACUUAUGAGGUACAAAGGAAGAAGAAGCCUAUACUACUUAUACAUUUUCACAUGGGACCUUCAGUGGAGAAAGAAGGAAGAAGCACAGUGUAAAGAAGAAGCACAGUGUAAAGGAUGGGAUGAAGAAAGAAUAUGGACCUGAACUGUGUAUGCUUCCAUCCCUGAAGAUAUGGUGGUACAGCUAGCAUAAAUCAUCAGCAGUCGGCUUCUUGGGAGGCUUUUAUCUUGUGUUCCUGCUCCUAUCAUGAUGCUUUGAUCAAUGAAUCACAAGGGAUAAGUCAUGCAGCCAGACAUAGUUUUGUUUUUCACUUCUCUGUCUCUACACGUUUCACUUGCAAAUAUACUUGUCACCUGAUAGCAUGGGUGAAAUAGUGGUUAUCAUUAGCUAUUGUCUUUACCUCAUGGUGUGUGGCCUGUAAGGAGGAGGAGACACAAAAUAAAGACAAUAAAAAGUCCCACAGAGGGAAAAAAAAGUCAGAGAAAAAUAAAGGAUUUAAAUAUCAACAAGGGAGUGCACUAUCAGAAGGCUGGGCUGUCUCACAAUCCUGCCUAGUGCAAAGUUUAUCCUAAGAUUUUUUAUUUUUAUUUUUUCCCUGCAAAAUCAGAAAUCCCUCCCACUUUUCAUAAUGCAGAUUCCGGGCUGCAGCAGGACAUUUCCCAGGCGGGAGUAAGGUGUAAACACUUUAGCUACACAGAUGUGUCUUUUCACUUUUAGGAGGCAGUGUUGACAGUUAAAGGAAUGACAAAAGUUAAAUUCCAUCUGUAAUAUUCCCUCAGCCAAUGUAGGUAGCCACCCAGUGGUUUGGUUCACAUUUAUUUUUAUAUAGUCAUGAUUUUGUAACGUAUUCUAAAGAGCUAUCCCAUAACCUGCAGAGUGUAUGUAAGGGAAUCUGUGUAUUACUUCUUAGGAGUAAAAUAACCAAGAAAAACAAGUUUAUUAUCAGUAGUCUUACGUCCAUUAUAGAGGUGUUUGUACCUUGAGAAAGGUAUAAGGGUCAGUAAUCAGGAAGAGGUUAGAAGCUGCAAGACUGUAGCACUUUUUAGCACUUCUGUAAACUCUUUAACACAACUUUCUGUGCCUUGCUGUGCUGCAAACUGAUGCUUUAAGUCACCAGAGUAGACGUGUGUAAUAACUAUGCCUCCAAGGUUUAGCAAAAGGUUUCUGUGUCAGAUCUGUAGUGUGCAGUUAAUUUUCAUGGAAGGAGGAAUAUGAACACACGAAUAGUGACCUAUAAAAUGAAAUGUGGCGAGCUACAUCUCAUUUUACACUUUUUUUUUUUUUUUCCCCUGAGUGAAACAUCCAUUUAAUAAAUCAAAGUUCUCCACGGAAUUUAUAGAACUAUCUGAAAUGUAUUUUGUUUAUUGUUCAUUAAAUCUAAUCAAGACCAGCACAUUUUCCAACUGUAAAGAGACUAUUGAUUAAAGUAGAAAUCCUGCAAUGCAUUUAAAAAAAGGUAAAAUAUCAUAAUUCUGAAUUAGGUUGAUAACCUAUUGUCAUAUUUUGAACUGAAACAUUGAUCAAUAAUGUAUGUCAUUUUUCAUUCGAUUACAUCUGUAAUUUAGCAUACAUUUAUUGAUUUUAUUCAUUCCCUUGUUUCUAAAUCACUAAGAGGCUACAAUAUUUUGAUGUUGGUCUUACCUUGUUGCAUGUUAAAAUGUUCUGUCAAGCAGUCUUGUAGAGUGCUGUAGGAAACUAAUAGAAGUAUUUAUUUCUCCUUUUUAAAUGUUAUAGAAGUGAUGAGUAGUAUCACCAUAUUGUAUUUACUAAAAAUUGCAUCAAGUUAUCAACAUUUCCCUUCUCUGAGUACAGAUUUUAUGGAUAAAAUAGGCCAGACUUUUUUUUUUCUUUUUUUUUCUCCCCCUACACUUCUCUUACAUUUUACCAGGUUUUAUAUGAGCAUUUCUUAUCUUAGUUUCAGCUGUUUGAAGUUUGGUCAUUCAGCAUUCCUUUUUCAGUGCAGAAGGCAAAUAUGUGUUGUACGAAGAGUUCUUAAGAAGUUAAAGUACAGUAAAUUUAAGUUUUCAAUAAGUGGAUAUUUAAUACUGAAUGAUUAAAAAGAAAUACAUUCCACCUUCUUUGCAGAAUAACUAAA